AAAAAUUUAGUUAAAUUAUAACAUUAGUCUGUCAAACUAAAAUUGUUCUAAGAACUUUUUUUA
Molecule: transfer RNA, 63 nt
Filed under: Donacia distincta
Lineage: Eukaryota; Metazoa; Arthropoda; Insecta; Coleoptera; Chrysomelidae
Description: tRNA-Asp
Source: RNAcentral